CGUAAUGUGUCCUGCAGCUUCCAAGG
This 26-nucleotide non-coding RNA is filed under the name Mus musculus (house mouse). Lineage: Eukaryota; Metazoa; Chordata; Mammalia; Rodentia; Muridae. The record is from RNAcentral.